CCUACGGGAGGCAGCAGUGGGGAAUAUUGCGCAAUGGGCGAAAGCCUGACGCAGCGACGCCGCGUGAGGGAUGAAGGUCUUCGGAUCGUAAACCUCUGUCAGCAGGGAAGAACGGUCACUGUGCUAAUCAGCAGUGAAUUGACGGUACCUGCAAAGGAAGCACCGGCUAACUCCGUGCCAGCAGCCGCGGUAAUACGGAGGGUGCGAGCGUUAAUCGGAAUUACUGGGCGUAAAGCGCUCGUAGGCGGUAUGUCAAGUCAAGGGUGAAAUCCCCGCGCUCAACGUGGGAACUGACUUUGAAACUGGCAAACUGGAGUGUGUGAGAGGAUAGUGGAAUUCCAGGUGUAGGAGUGAAAGCCGUAGAUAUCUGGAGGAACAUCAGUGGCGAAGGCGACUAUCUGGCACAUAACUGACGCUGAGGAGCGAAAGCGUGGGUAGCAAACAGGAUUAGAUACCCCAGUAGUC
This 465-nucleotide ribosomal RNA is filed under the name uncultured bacterium. RNAcentral describes it as "partial 16S ribosomal RNA". It matches the Rfam family "Bacterial small subunit ribosomal RNA", at positions 338 to 795 of the family's 1533-position model. The record is from RNAcentral.